GUGGGGGUGUGGGUCUUGGGGGGGGGGGGUGGAGAUGACAACUUCGCAGAGGCUGCUGUGCAAUGCAUGGGUAUUUAUUGGGGGGAGAAGUGGGGGAAGAGUUGAUUUGAUUUGAUUUUUUCUUUCCCUCCCACCUCUUGAUUAAAGGGUGGCGUGUCGCGCCCCGCGUUUCAGAGCUCGGAGGUUUGUUGCUGCGCAGUUCAGAAAGUGGGAAAUGGUGACGCAGUGAUCAUUGUCGUCCAGUUUUAAAAAGCAUCGGGUGGAGGGGGGGGGGGGGGGGGGAGGGGGCGGGGGGUGAGGGACAGGUACGUGGUGCCUUUCGGAGGCUUGCAGAGCAGCUGAGAGGGGUUAAGGAUGAGUUGAGAAGGGAAGCUAGCGUGGAGGGAUUAAAUGUCAUCAUUUUGGCGUUGGGAAGUUGUUUACCUUGCUCUCUCCGUGUCUCCAUGUUGGCAGCCUUCCAGCUCACAUGUGAUAGUCUUCCCUGUACUGCUGCAUCAUUAACUAAGUGGCUGAGCUUGCACACCAUUGGCUGGGGUGGGCUCUGAGUCUAAACACUCGAUCCUAUUGGAGGAAGGGGUGAUGGCAGGUGAAAACCUCUCCAGGAUUGGCCAAGGACAGGGUGUCAAAUCUAAAUGUCGAUUUCACUUGCUUCAAAGUGCUGGGAACUGCUUUGUGACUACAAUCUCAGCUGGGUUUUCUUUCUGCUUUUUCAAAGCCAGGCAUUUGAAAAGAUCUCUCUGCCUUUGGCACUACGUCACUUUGCCCAAAGCAAAAGAGAAACGCAGCAAAUUCCCUGGCGUGGCCUGCGCAGGUCGUGGUGGGUGCAAAUAAAUCACCCGGAGUGUGAAUGGCGUCCGUGACAGAGUGCUCCGCAGGGAAGAGGUUGGGUCCGCCCAGGUGUUUGGCAGAUGCUGCUCAGCUCCCCGGCUCGAGAAGUCCCCGGAUGGUGCGGUGCCUCGCGCUCUCACGCAGCAAGGAGCUUUCUGCCCUGAGCCUCCAGUCACGUAGAGGCUCCAGCAAGUUCAAGGAUAAGGGGGCGGACGCCGUUCAGGUGUCACCGACCCUCCUGAGUCACUCAGCCCUCGCCCGUGGAGCUGACUCCCGCAGAGCUUCCGCACUUCCUGCGGUGCUAGAUCCGCAGAGGAGGAGGAACAGCAACCGCAACGGCAGUCCCUGCAGCGAGGCCGAUGGACAUACACGCACGUCUGCCGGCACUGCUGCAUAACUGCGCUUACACGCCGGUAAGCCAGCAGCAGAGAGAUCCAUGCAGAGCCAGCAGCCGGACCGAGAGCCGACGCUCAGUUGCUCGGGAGUGCGGGUUACCUGCCUGCCCAGGCAAGCCAUAGGCUUUGAAGCAAUCGCCACAGCUACCGAUGCAUCUCUCGGGAAGGUGAAGCUAGCAGUUGCCAGCCGUGGCGGAAAGCUACUGGUGGGAAGGGAGGCUUGGCGAGGCACAGGAAUACUUAUCUGCCUCUGACUUUAAAGGACACAAAGCGGAAAAAAAGCCCCAAGAACGUUCACAAUUGUGAGAAGUAAGAAGGGCCAGAGGUAAAACAACUUCACAUUUGUGUCCAGUUCCUGGAAAGCCUUGGUGCCCAGGUCUGUGCCUUGAAUCGUCAUUAUAGAUACGUGCACAACGGGGAGUGUGAAGCACCGCGUUGUAGUGGUGCAAGUGACUGCAAAUGUUGCAGGGCAAAGUAAACCAGCCAAACCACCCGCAAAAAACAAAACGCACACGAGCGCGUGCACGCACACACACACAUGCACACACACACACACACACACAACCAGUUCAACCUUCCUGAGCAGGAAGUCUGAGGCUAAAUAGACCUGAUGAUAUUUAGAAGUGGUGAGAGAGGUCAUUUUAUUGUGCGCUGUAAAAACAUGCAAUUCCGUGUCUUAGUGUUUGCCUCUGGUAAUUAUGCUGUUCUGUUAAUAAUUCACUAGAAGCAUUAUCUAGUUCCCAUUUUAUAGCACAAGAGUUAGGGUGUUACCACGAGUUCCUGCUUCCAACAGUGGCUUUCAGCUUACAAUUUGGUACAUGUUUUUGAUUUUUUAUCAGAAAUUGGUUUCUGAAGCGGUCACUUGAAAAUCUCAGGGGAAUUGGAUUAGCCCAUUUUAAGAAGAACCUUUUUCUUCCCCCCCCCCCAAAAAAAAACAAAACAAAACAAAACUGUGACAGGGAAAGCCUAGAACAGUGACUGGCCAUCUUGACAGAGAUGAACAGUCGGAAACAGAUACUAGUUCACGCAGAGGGAACGGUUGCUAGGUGUGACGGUUAGUAGCUAUGAACUUAAUGAGACAUGAGUAGCGCUGUGGAGGAGGCGAGCUCACUGGAAGAAGUGAGUAGGAAAAAAAAGGAGUAAUGCCAAGUUUCCAAAGUUUCAUGCGACUGUUUCAAUUAACCAUUUCUCCUGCAGCAAGAAACCACAAUCCUGCAGUAAGUAGCACAGUGCCAUUUCCCUUUCUUUUCAGAGAGUUUUGCUUCUGGUACUUUUUUUUUCUUUUUUGGCCCUUUGCAUCUGCAUGAAGGAGCAGAACUGGCAUGUGAUAGAAAGGGAGCGGGCAAAAGGAUCCAGCUUGCUUAGGCCACCCUCUUGAACCAGAGCAUCUUUCUCCAUGCCUCAUCCCUUGUCUUGACCCCUGUACUGACUGCGGCUGGCAGUGACAGCCAGGUGAAGCACUGUGGUCUGGCGUUUCACAGAACCAAGUGGCCAUCCUUUUCCAAAGAGGUUUGAGGUUGGUUGGUGCCCCAAGUUUUUUGGACGCCCAAAUUUCAGAAAGCUGAGCUCAGCUUCUCCAAAACCCACCAUGUAAAGCGUCCAAAGCUGGGCACCCAAAUAUCACAAGUGACAACUGCAAAUGUGAGCUGCUGGUCCUCACAGCCUAUUACCACAAGAAGCCGCGCUGGCUUGGAUGGUGGGAGACAUUGCAUACGGUAGGUAGCAAGCUUAAAUAGCACAACAGGGCCAGAGCCUGGCUCUCGGCGGCCCAUCGGGGUUCCCAGGAUGGUCGCGAAUGCCCAGCUUGUGGACUCAGCUGCCCCAUGCUCUGUUGGCACAGGGGAGCAGGGGAGAGAGCGAACCGAGAUGCGUACGCCAGGCACAGGAGUGUGCUGGGGCUGGUACAGACUAGCCCUCAGAAGCAGGCAGCCGAAACGGGCUCCCUGGUGCGACCGCUCCUUUCCAUGCCCAGAAACAAUCAGGUGCAGGGAAGAAUUUGUCUCUUGCUCUGCAAGAAUCGAGCUUGGGACAUUCAAUUCAUUUUGCAGAGGCAGCUUCAAAUGGAAGCUGCUCUCAGUCACUAUUAACCAGGGAGCGGGGGGCUUUCAGCUAUACUCUACUUCCCUGGCACCUCCGGCUUAUUAGGAUGUUAAUGUAAAACUGUUCAUGCUGACCAGAUGAGGUCCUUCUGAGGCUAGUGGAAAGAUCAGGGUGUGAUUUAGAGUUGGUUGUGGUGGCAUUUGUUUUAUUUUCUUAAUAAAUAGUUGACUGCCAGUCCUUGCUUCAUUUGAACAUAACUUGAACAGCCUCCUGAAGAUCCCUUACAAAACCUGGCAGCAAAAUCUGCCGUUCGGGCCAAGCAUAACUGAGGUCCACAGUAUGAAACCUCAGCUCACUUCAGAACUGUAUGGCUUGGACUUGUAGGCAGCAUUUGAUACUGACCCAGUCUUUUCUUUGGCACUUUUCUGGAUUAGCGGGCAAUAAUUUUCUGCUAGGUGAGAUGCAAAUUAUUCUUACCACCUAAAGGAUUGAAAUGGCCGUAUGUCAGGCAGCUAAUUCUGCUCAUGUAUAUGAAUCAUCAGGGACAUUGCUGACACAAAUUUAUCAUCUGAAAAGCGCUAUCCACCGGUGAUAGCUACAGUGAUGUUUUCAACCUAAAGAGAUGCAUGAAAAAAUCACCAGUUCUCAAACACAGUAUUCUUGGAGUAGGCAAAUAGGUCCUUAGCCCGAACAAAAAGCAUUUCUAUACCUAACUCCCCCUGAUUUAAGGAGGAAUGAGACACCUACAUACCUUGAAGGUCUGGAUGUUAUGGCUUAUAGUUGCAAAGAAGGUGAUAAUACGUAAAGCCUAUCUCCCAGGACAUCGUGUACUUCUUGUGAGGCUGAAAAGAUUGCAAGUCAGGAGACGUGACCCAGACACAAGGCAUGAGAAAAACCCUUUUUACAUGGCCGCUUUUGUGGCUGUAACAAAUGCAUCCAAGUAACUGGUACCAGGCAUAAGGCUGGAGGAGGGUUUCCUGCUGGUUGUGAUAUUUUCCCCAAAGAAGCAGCUUCUGGUUAUUUUUUUUCUAUUUUUAAAGAAAAAAAAAAAAGACAGGCAGACCUGAGGAUGCGUAAUUUUUUAGAUUUGCAUUUCAGAUUCGCUUGCCAUUCAGACCAAGACACAGACCUAUCACUUCCUCCUUUGUUCUGGCUCCCCUGGAAAGUUCUUCUAACAUUGCGCUGUGAUUUGCCAUGACUUUGUGCUCUGCGAUAUUAAGAUGGAAAUUCAUGCUCUGGAACCUGAGGUGCAAUUGAGAAGCCAACCCCCGCAGUGGGAAAGGGUGAAGAGCAUUCACACAGGAAGUUAGUGUGGAGCAUAGCCCCACCCCACUUUUACUUGGUGAAAAACUUGCUGCGUCCAUACCCUCGCUUUAAUCCUGACUAUACACCAGCGAGAGACGACAGCUUAGCUCAGAUCAACUGGAUGUGGAAUCUGUACUAGAGCUAUAGAAGGAAAAGGAUGGAUGGCUUUGCACACUGGGCACGGCCCCAAAGAACAGUUGGCAGAACAUGCUGAGGGAUGAGGAUGAUGGAGCCUUACACAGAAGUUGCAUGCAGCAGUGUGCAAAGACACAACUCCAACCGACGCUGAAUUCAGAUUUCAGAGUUUGUGCAAGGAAGGGUCUUAACCCUUGCCCAUGUGCAUCGUGGAAAGUGCAUGUGGCUGUCUUGAUAACCUGCAUUCAACCCUACGUGGCCUAUCCAGUCAGUCUCCGGAUGAGUGAGCAGGAAUAACUGGUAUCAGCUUUUGGGAUGAAUGCAAGUGAAGACCACGGUGGAGAGUGGGGAAUGAAGAGUUUCCCUCCAGCUGCUCUUUAGACAGUCAGGGCACGUUCUGAGGACCGGUCUCUGUGUGAGCCUCUGGUGGAUGGGGAACUUCAGGAUUAACAGAGACAUGCUGAAAGGUACCGGCCCUGCUUCCAUGUGUGUGCGUGUGCAUGUGUGUGCGGUAGCUAGAUCCCAGGAUUCGUGGAGACUGCGUGGACAUGGAGGUAUUGAUCGUUGAGACUUCGCUGUGUUCUACAUAGGCACAGCUGGCAGGCACAGCACAUGCUUGCCCUCGUCCCUGACGGUGCAUGAUGGAAGUGGCCAGUAUCAAAGACUUCCAGUGGAAAACCCUGGCGCCUCUCCCCAGCCGCAGGGUCUACUGCUCCUUGGUGGAAGAGAAAGGUCAGGUUUUUGCCAUCGGGGGCUGCGAUGACAAUGGUGUCCCCAUGGACUGCUUCGAGGUGUACUCCCCAGAAGCCGACCAGUGGAACUCCCUCCCUCCCAUGCCCACGGCCCGGGCUGGGGUAGCGGUGGCCACCCUGGGCAAGCGGAUCAUGGUGAUCGGAGGGGUUGGACUGAAUCAGAAGCCCCUGAAGAUCGUGGAGAUGUACAACAUCGACGAGGGCAAGUGGAAGAAGAGGAACUCCCUGAGGGAAGCAGCGAUGGGCAUCUCGGUGACCGCGAAAG
Molecule: long non-coding RNA, 5720 nt
Organism: Alligator sinensis (Chinese alligator)
Lineage: Eukaryota; Metazoa; Chordata; Crocodylia; Alligatoridae
Exons: 9
Source: RefSeq, a predicted model, not a curated record